GCCAGUGGCGCGAAGCUACCGUGCGCUGGA
RNAcentral lists this small nuclear RNA (30 nucleotides) under Arabidopsis thaliana (thale cress). Its description in RNAcentral is "snRNA_01034". Lineage: Eukaryota; Viridiplantae; Streptophyta; Magnoliopsida; Brassicales; Brassicaceae. The record is from RNAcentral.